AAUAACUUAUUAAUGUAACUAUAUAGUACCUACUAAUAAAUUAAUUAUAUGUAAUAUUAAUAAUAUUAAUUUUAACAGUAAAUAAUAUUGAAACUUAUUUUUGUUGAUACUCAGAUAUUUAUUGUAAGCUAGAUUAAUUUUGUGCCAGCAUUCGCGGUUAUACAGACUUAGUUAAAAUUAUUUUUUUUAUUUAAUUUAAUUUUUAGGCAUUGAUUUUAUUUAAAAUAUAUUUAGGUGGAAUUUAUAUAUUUAAUUUAAAUCUUAUUUAUAUUUUUAUAAAUAUUAAUUGUAGAUUAGGAUUAGAUACCCUUUUAUUUUUUGUUUAGAUUAAUUAUGAAUAUUAAUAGGUAUAUUCUAUAAAACUCAAAGAAUUUGGCGGUGACUAAUCUUUUCAGGGGAAUCUGUUUAUUAAUUGAUAAACCACGUUAGUUUCUACUAAAAUUUAAUUUGUAUAUCGCUAUAAUGAAUAAUCUUAAAGGAAUUUUUUAUUUUAAUUAUUUAAUUUAUAUUAGGUCAAGGUGCAGUUUUAUUUAAGAUUAAAUGGAUUACUUUAAUUAUAACUUUUAUUGGAUCAUUAUAUUUAAUUAUAUUUUGAAAUAGGAUUUGAUAGUAACUUUAUUUAAUUAUUUAAUUUGAAUUAAGCUAUAAGUCAUGUACAUAUUGCCCGUCACUCCAAUUUUAAUGGAUAAGUCGUAACAAAGUAAUUUUACUGGAAAGUGAGGUUAGAUUAU
RNAcentral lists this non-coding RNA (731 nucleotides) under Olidiana ritcheriina. The record is from RNAcentral. Lineage: Eukaryota; Metazoa; Arthropoda; Insecta; Hemiptera; Cicadellidae.